Camellia sinensis is the source of this 1532-nucleotide non-coding RNA. The record is from RefSeq and is a predicted model, not a curated record. NCBI's taxonomy places the organism in Eukaryota, Viridiplantae, Streptophyta, Magnoliopsida, Ericales, Theaceae.
GUUGUUUUAAAAUACCCUUUAGGGUUCCCUCUGACAUUAUACCACCUUACAGUUGCUAAAAAUUUAGAAAUUGAAAGUAAUCAGUACCCAUUUUGGUUGGUCAUAAUUGUUUGUGGAACCAAUUUCUAAUUCUGACUGCAUUAUUGUAAUUACUGCUAUACAUUUCUAAACAGGAAGCUUUUUAUGUCUGGUUUAUUAGGAAUGAGCUCUUGCUUUGAUGACUAGGGUCAUUGGAGUAUUUAGAACAUGCACAGGCAUGGUCAUACCUCAAUGUAGAUGAGUUAUAGUGAAACAACUGUGGAUUGUUUUAAUGUCAUAAAUUAAAAUUGAACUGGUUCGUGUUUAGUCAUUUUGUAUUUUCAGUUUUCCUGCUGUACUCCUUUGUUGUGAACCUGCUACACUGUGAUUUACUGCAGGAAAGACUUAUCGAAUUUGUGUGCACAACGUUGGGGUCACAACUUGUUUGAACUUUAGAAUCCAGGACCAUAAUUUGCUCCUAGCAGAAACAGAGGGUUAUUACACAUCGCAACAAAAUUACACUGGUUUAGAUAUCUAUGUUGGGCAGUCCUACUCUUUUUUGGUUACCAUGGAUCAGAAUGCAAGUAGUGAUUACUAUAUUGUAGCCAGUGCUAGAUUUGUGAAUCAGUCUCUUUGGCAAAGUGUUACUGGUGUGGCUGUCUUGCACUAUUCAAAUUCAAAAGGAGAGGCAGCUGGUUCCUUCCCUGAUCCAUCAAAUGAUGUAUAUGACACAUCAUUUUCGCUGAACCAGGCAAUGUCCAUCAAUUAGUCAGCAGUUUCUUAUAUUUAUUUGCCACGAGCACCAUGCUGGAAGUCGUAACUGGAUUGCUUAGUGCAUUCAUCAUCAAAAAGCUUUAUUUUGGGAGUUACUCUAUUUAAGUGACAUUCUCAUAAUUUUCUUUUGCGGGAUUGUGAUGUCCCAUUACACCUGGCAUAAUGUCACUGAGAGUUCAAGAAUCACUACCAAGUAUGUUUCAUGUCCAAAUAAGUUAUUGGUAGACACUGAAACAAAUUAUUUUUUCCUUUUCUGUAUUGGCAAAAUGCGGCCAAUAUUUAAUGGUACUAAUACUGUAGUUGCCUUUAAACAUGUUUUCAGGCAUGCUUUUGCGACUUUAUCAUUUGUUUGUGAGAUAUUUAUCUUUCUUUAUGUUGGCAUGGAUGUCUUGGACAUGGAAAAGUGGAGAUUUGUAAACAGAAGGUAUGGUUCAUAUGUCAAAGCUCUCAGUUCUAUGCGGGUCCUGCAAGCUUGCGCCAAUUUGAAGGCUUGGGAGCUCUCUGCGAGAUUUUGAAUGUCAUUUCAAUGAAGCCCUUGAGAAGAAUAUGCAAUGAGUUGUUUUGUUCUGUAGGUAGAUACAACGGCAAUUUACAAUUUGUUCAUUGAAUAGUUGAAUGCUACAAAUAAUGCUUAUAGCACUAGCCUUAUAAAUUGGAAAUGAUACUUUUGAAAUCGAUCAGUUUAUGAUAUACAAUCCAUAUAUUACAUACUAAUGAAUCAGAGCAUGGAUUAUGAUUUA